RNAcentral lists this ribosomal RNA (435 nucleotides) under uncultured Flavobacterium sp. RNAcentral describes it as "bacterial SSU rRNA". It matches the Rfam family "Bacterial small subunit ribosomal RNA", at positions 358 to 790 of the family's 1533-position model. The record is from RNAcentral. Lineage: Bacteria; Pseudomonadati; Bacteroidota; Flavobacteriia; Flavobacteriales; Flavobacteriaceae.
GGAAUAUUGGACAAUGGGCGCAAGCCUGAUCCAGCCAUGCCGCGUGCAGGAUGACGGUCCUAUGGAUUGUAAACUGCUUUUGCACAGGAAGAAACAACUCUACGUGUAGAGUCUUGACGGUACUGUGAGAAUAAGGAUCGGCUAACUCCGUGCCAGCAGCCGCGGUAAUACGGAGGAUCCAAGCGUUAUCCGGAAUCAUUGGGUUUAAAGGGUCCGUAGGCGGUCUUAUAAGUCAGUGGUGAAAUCUCCCCGCUCAACGGGGAAACGGCCAUUGAUACUGUAGGACUUGAAUUAUUAGGAAGUAACUAGAAUAUGUAGUGUAGCGGUGAAAUGCUUAGAGAUUACAUGGAAUACCAAUUGCGAAGGCAGGUUACUACUAAUGGAUUGACGCUGAUGGACGAAAGCGUGGGUAGCGAACAGGAUUAGAUACCCUUG